AUCGUUUAUCCGUGAUUNAUAAUUAGAGUGUUUCAAAUGCAGUCAGAUCCAAUUUUCUGGCCACCGAAUACAUUAGUCAUGGGAUAAUGGAAUAGGAUCCCUGUCCUCCUAGUUUUCAGUUGGUUUUGGCAUGUCGUCGAUGGAUCUAGGGUAAUGAUUAAUAGGGAUAGUUGGGGGCAUUAAUAUUNUAAUUGCUCAAGAGGGUGAAAUUCUUGGAUUUAUGAAAGACUUUAACUUCUGCGAAAGCAUUCUUGNCCCAAGGAUGUUUUCAUUAACUCAAGAACCGAAAUGCUUAUGGGGAUCGAAUGACGAUCAGAUACCGUCGUANUCUUAACCAUAUAAUCGAUGUCCGACCAGCGAUUAGGAGACGUUUGUAUACAAUAUACAUCCACCAUCAACGCGGUCGNCCUUGGCGUCGUCUUUCGGGGUCNAGCCGGGCCGCUUAGCCUGUGNCCUUCUCUUGUAGUGUUU
Molecule: ribosomal RNA, 471 nt
Filed under: Acanthamoeba sp. AVL-5
Lineage: Eukaryota; Discosea; Longamoebia; Acanthamoebidae
Description: bacterial SSU rRNA
Rfam family: Eukaryotic small subunit ribosomal RNA (bases 1-352)
Source: RNAcentral